Molecule: long non-coding RNA, 357 nt
Organism: Medicago truncatula (barrel medic)
Lineage: Eukaryota; Viridiplantae; Streptophyta; Magnoliopsida; Fabales; Fabaceae
Exons: 3
Source: RefSeq, a predicted model, not a curated record
CUGCACAAUCUCUCUGUAACCACACCAAUUCCUAACAGCAGCCACACAUAGACUCUUCCUCUUCUUCAUUCACUCAGAUCUCCACCGUUUCUUUCAGCUUGACCUUGCUCCUCCGUUUCAGAUCUCUUUAUUCCGGUAUUCCGGUGAAUGUUGCAGCUAAAGUUGUGGCUCUGUAGGAGAAUUCAUUCCUCUCGGGUAAACUGCACCCUCAACUACAUAUAGACUAAUCUCUUGAGUUGAGUGGAAAAUGUAUCCCACAAGAAAUUUAACAAUGUUGCAUUCUCAAGGCUAAAUUCAAACUCAGGACCUCAGGUAAAGUUAGAGAUCCUUUGCAUUCUCAUCGGUUUAUAUGAUGUA